UCCCUGAUGGUCCAGUGGUUAGGACUCAGCACUUGCACUGCUGUGGCUGGGUUUAAUCCCUGGUCAGGGAA
Non-coding RNA from Mesoplodon densirostris (Blainville's beaked whale), 71 nucleotides. NCBI's taxonomy places the organism in Eukaryota, Metazoa, Chordata, Mammalia, Artiodactyla, Ziphiidae. The record is from the annotation of a RefSeq genome assembly.